RNAcentral lists this ribosomal RNA (467 nucleotides) under uncultured bacterium. RNAcentral describes it as "partial 16S ribosomal RNA". It matches the Rfam family "Bacterial small subunit ribosomal RNA", at positions 28 to 507 of the family's 1533-position model. The record is from RNAcentral.
GAUGAACGCUGGCGGCGCGCCUAACACAUGCAAGUCGAACGAUUAAAGCACCUUCGGGUGUGUAUAAAGUGGCGAACGGCUGAGUAACACGUGGGCAACCUGCCCCUCUCAUUGGGAUAGCCACGGGAAACCAUGGAUAAUACCGAAUACUUCGGGACUUCCGCAUGGAAGACUCGAGAAAGCUCCGGCGGAGAGGGAUGGGCCCGCGGCCUGUUAGCUUGUUGGUGGGGUAAUGGCCUACCAAGGCAAUGAUGGGUAGCUGGGUUGAGAGACCGACCAGCCAGAUUGGGACUGAGACACGGCCCAGACUCCUACGGGAGGCAGCAGUGGGGAAUCUUGCACAAUGGGCGAAAGCCUGAUGCAGCGACGCCGCGUGCGUGAUGAAGGCCUUCGGGUUGUAAACCGCUUUCAGCAGGGACGAGGCGAAAGUGACGGUACCUGCAGAAGAAGCCCCGGCUAACUACGUG